GAAUUCACUAGUGAUUCGCGGCCUAUCAGCUUGUUGGUGGGGUGAUGGCGUACCAAGGCGACGACGGGUAGCCGGCCUGAGAGGGCGACCGGCCACACUGGGACUGAGACACGGCCCAGACUCCUACGGGAGGCAGCAGUGGGGAAUAUUGCACAAUGGGCGGAAGCUUGAUGCAGGGAUGCCGCGUGAGGGAUGACGGCCUUCGGGUUGUAAACCUCUUUCAGCAGGGACGAAGCGGCUGGGUUUUCUCAGUCGUGACGGUACCUGCAGAAGAAGCGCCGGCCAACUACGUGCCAGCAGCCGCGGUAAGACGUAGGGCGCGAGCGUUGCCCGGAUUUAUUGGGCGUAAAGAGCUCGUAGGCGGCUUGUCGCGUCGUUCGUGAAAACCUGGGGCUCAACUCCAGGCUUGCGGUCGAUACGGGCAGGCUUGAUUUCGGUAGGGGAGACUGGAAUUUUUGGUGUAGCGGAGAAAUGCGCAGAUAUCAGGAGGAACACCGGUGGAGAAGGCGGGUCUGUGGCCCGAUAUUGACGAUGAGGAGAGAAAGCGCGGGGAGCGAACAGGAUUAGAUACCCUGGUAGUCCACGCUGUAAACGUUGGGCGCUAGGUGUGGGGGGCCUCUCCGGUUCUCUGCGCCGCAGCUAACGCAUUAAGCGCCCCGCCUGGGGAGUACGG
RNAcentral lists this ribosomal RNA (673 nucleotides) under uncultured Actinoplanes sp. Its description in RNAcentral is "bacterial SSU rRNA". It matches the Rfam family "Bacterial small subunit ribosomal RNA", at positions 216 to 885 of the family's 1533-position model. The record is from RNAcentral. Lineage: Bacteria; Bacillati; Actinomycetota; Actinomycetes; Micromonosporales; Micromonosporaceae.